UUAAAUGCUAAGACAGAGAGAAAGAUAUGAAAUUUUAUUUUAGAGAGUCGGAACAGGUGAAAGCCGACAUAAAAGGAAGUAUGUAAUAUUCACUCUGUGGCAGGUAGGCUGAAAUAACAGUAGGCUUUCUCGGUUGCCCCCGUUAUCAUAGGCUAAGAGUUGUUAGACUCUAAUGAGGUAAUCUUUGAUUAUAAAUUUAGGUGGUACCGCGAAUAUCCUUCGUCCUAUAA
RNAcentral lists this non-coding RNA (230 nucleotides) under Peptoniphilus sp. RNAcentral describes it as "T-box sequence". It matches the Rfam family "T-box leader". From Rfam's summary of the family: Uncharged tRNA acts as the effector for transcription antitermination of genes in the T-box leader family. T-boxes are found upstream of many aminoacyl-tRNA synthetase genes and some amino acid biosynthetic genes usually in Gram-positive bacteria. The anticodon of a specific tRNA base pairs to a specifier sequence within the T-box motif, and the NCCA acceptor tail of the tRNA base pairs to a conserved bulge in the T-box antiterminator hairpin. The record is from RNAcentral. Lineage: Bacteria; Bacillati; Bacillota; Tissierellia; Tissierellales; Peptoniphilaceae.